CGCUUACUUUUCCCUCCAACUAACUAAAAAACGCUAGAUAAAUUGGGUCUCAAACCCAUCCACAUCCAGCCCAGCCGCCCACCGUUCGGCGGCUACCUCGCCGCACUCCAACGCAGCGGCCGCCACCUCCCCCCCCCAUCUCAACCCCCGUAGGAUGUACCGCUUCCUCGACCAGCAUCGGCGCCGCUUCCUCGAUCUGUCCCGGCGCCGUUUGGAUCGUUGCGGCGACGGCUUCGUCGGUCUUCAGCUCCGCCACCUACAUCCUGAAGGAGUACGAUCUCGUGGCUGGAUGGCGACGGACAUGUUGACCAUAUACCUGCACUAUGAAGAUACAAAUCAGGAAGCCAAAAUUUUACAAAGAUCCAUGAUGAGAGGUGAUGUCUUGUAUUACGACUUAAUCUUGAUGAUCGAAGAAGUUGGCUUUCAGGCAAUUGACUUUCUGUACUAUGCGAAAAAACCCCGUCUAGGCAGCUCCUACUUAGUUCACAUUUAUGAUGAAGGUGUUGUGAUGAAAAUGUUGUCUGACACUGAGAUUGUGAAAGCUGUCCAUCUGUAUGUGUCUAAGGAGAAGGCUGACGAUCAUAUUGCUCCGCCUAGCAAGAAAAUUGAUGUUGCUCCAUCUAACCAUCCAAAUGAGAGUGUUCUCUUACAGGACGGUGGUGUCUCUGCUGAAGGGGCAGGGCAACUUACUAUGCAAGGGCUGCAAAGUUACGGACCAACGUGAUGAUGAAGAUGGAGACUGCAACAAUGGUGAGCAAUUCCCACAAGGUCAUGAAUCACAAGCAUUGGUCGAUGAAGAGGGUCAAGUGCACAAUCAAGUAGACAAGGAAGUACGCAAGCGCAAGAGAACAAGCUUGCCAAUUGUCUGGAACAUGCCAAAGGGGCAGAGAAUAGUUGUGAAAUGCAAUGAAGAUAGCCAGCCUAUAGGAGAUGAAGGUGCAAUCUUGGGGAAGUUUCUGGGCACGGUUGCUAGAAAUGGAGGAUUUUACCCACUAAACAUAAAUGAUUGGCGUCAUGUCAAAAAGAAUAGUGGUGAGGAAACAAUAUUGCAGUGCGUACAGACAAAGUUCGUGUAUCCUCGAUCAUGUGAAAAAUGGAUACUCAAAUCAAUUGGAAGAGACUGGAGGAAAUUUAAGUCUAGUUUGAAAGAUGCUUUCUUCAAACCCGCCAUUGAAAAAAAUCCAAACAUCAAGCGAAAGGCUUUGUAUAAGCUCUGUCCAGAAGAUGUGGACAACGAUCAAUGGCGUGGGCUUGUUAAAUAUUGGAAGUCCAAAAAAGGAAGGGCCCUUGCUGAGAAGAACAUAAUUAGUCGUUCCCUCGUGAAGGAUUCACAUAAUGCUGGCACAAAGAGUUAUGCUUGUUGGGGUGAAGACAUGAGGCAAGCUGAUCCUGAAAAGAAACGACCACACAGAUCAAAGGUUUAUUUAGCAACUCACAAGAAGAAGGACGAUGCUGAUGCGAAAAAUAAAGAUAGAAAUAAGCGCCUGGAUCGAUUGGAGAAUCUAAUAACCGAACUACCAGAGUUGGCACAAAAUUUGAAUGGAAGAGUCGCAUGGGAAGGUGAUGCCCUACAGGAAGUGUUAGGGAAAGAAAAGAUUGGACAAGUGCAUGGCAUGGGUUUGCUUCCAACUCCUAAGCAAGUCUAUGGUCGGACGCCACGGUAUCUAAAACAUCAAUAUGGCUACAACAGAUGGAUCAUCAUAUGAAGUUGAACAUGACGUUUGGGAGGUAAUAGCAAAGAUGAAGGAGCAUAUAAAAAAGCAAGACCAGAUUAUUAAAGAUAUGAAUAACAAAGAAGGCUAUGUCAAUAAUGGCAUAGAAGAGGAAAACCUCUAAUCAAAUGAUAAUGGUAUUUCUCGGUCACCACUACUGCUUGGUAAAACAAAGUUUGCAGAGAAUCCAGUGCAAUGGACCCAUUGAGGCACUCUCGUCUAUGCAACAUGACAUUCCUGAGGAUAAUAAUUUAUCGCGUUCGCACGAAAAGGUUAUGCAUGUAGUUACUCUUACUCAAGUCACAAAGAUAGAAUAUAAAAUAAUUACUUGCUUACCAUUGUUGUGUCAUGGAACUAGGUUGGCGACCAUGAUGUCAACCAAUUACAAAUUCAACAAAAUUCAUCAUCACCACAAGACCUUGUUAUUGAUUCUGUGCUAGAGCUGAGGGAAACGAGGAAUAUUACGGGUGAAUCUGUUUCAAGACCGAACUAGCAAAGGACUAGAACUGAACACCCACACCGCUCAAAAAGAAGGCGUUCUUCUUCCAUCAAGGUUGCUUUCAAAGUAGUCUUAAAGACUUCAACAUAUCCCAACAAGCGGAAUGUUGCGUAUGGUACUAUUCGAAGUACUGAUCCAAGAACUAAGGCUGGUGGUAUUGAGUUAGGUGCUGAAUUUGCUCUUGUGCGCAUAGACGAACCUAUUCUUGAUAAUGAGGAGUUGGUAAGGGAAGUUUCUGAUUGCAAGACAAUUGGCGAGGCUUUCACUUCAGGAUACUUAAUUGCCUCGCCUUCAUCUUUUAUUCGAGAGAAGGAUGGUUGAUUUGCAGUUGAAUUCUUGGAUCAAGAAGCAAAUAAAAUUUAAAGAUUUUAGCUACCAAUAGUUGUAGUUUACAUUGAUAGAUUUAAAAGUGUAAUAUCAUCCAGAAGAUCUUUUUCUUUCAUCGAAUUGAUGCAAAUGCGACAGUGUAAUAUUCCCCAUAGUUGUGUUUUCUAUCCUCAAAAUUAUAUGGCUGAUAUCUUUAUUGUAAUGCAUAUGUAUCAUAUACUCUUCUAUGUUCAUAAUAAAUAUCUUCGUACGAAUUUCUGUA
RNA transcript from Triticum aestivum (bread wheat), 2800 nucleotides. RefSeq lists it as uncharacterized. NCBI's taxonomy places the organism in Eukaryota, Viridiplantae, Streptophyta, Magnoliopsida, Poales, Poaceae. The record is from RefSeq and is a predicted model, not a curated record. The transcript is spliced from 13 exons.